UUUAAGAUGAUACAAGUAAUAACAUUAAAAUCACAUAUAUUAGAAAUAGAACCGGAAAACAAUAUAUAAAUAAAAGAUAAUCCCCACCAUAUCAGCAAACUUUUGAGAUCCUGAAAUGUUUAUACUGAAUAAAAAGAUAAAAAUAUGACAAAAAAAUAUUAUGUGCCAUGCUGCAAUAUCAAAUGUUGAAAACUGAGAGUAUACAGAACAAAAAGGAAGACGCAAAAGGUGGUAGAAACGGUCGCGUAAGGAUCGUGUUUCAAAUUUCAAUAUUCAAAUCCACCUUUCUGACAUGCAUCAACUGGUUUGACAAUGGCCCAGCAGAAUCCCUUCAUGCCUUUCAGUUUAUCUUUUUGAAAAAAUCUGUGGCUUGAUGGAGAUAUUAAACAUGUGUGUGUAUAUAUAUAUAUAUAUAUGUACAGAGAUGAUUUGCUCUAAUAUAUUAAAAGCUUGUGGGAGAAAAGGAAAAGAGAGAAAGAGAG
This 482-nucleotide long non-coding RNA is filed under the name Vigna radiata. RNAcentral describes it as "long non-coding RNA (VRAD_LNC007148)". Lineage: Eukaryota; Viridiplantae; Streptophyta; Magnoliopsida; Fabales; Fabaceae. The record is from RNAcentral.